This is a non-coding RNA of Myodes glareolus (Bank vole), 902 nucleotides long. Lineage: Eukaryota; Metazoa; Chordata; Mammalia; Rodentia; Cricetidae. The record is from RefSeq and is a predicted model, not a curated record.
CGGCGCGCCUGUAGAGGGGGAUCGAGCGAGCCAAUCCGUGGAGGCGGGGAGGGGCCGGGUCUGGGGCGCCGAGCUGUCAUCCGCGUUCCAGGUCAGGUAAACUGAGGCUGACCGGCCAGCCGGCAAAGGCUUGCCUGGGGCAGCAGCAAGGCUGGGCUUGAACCCGCUGCCUGGACUCCUUGAAUUUCUUUGAGUCCCAGCUCACGAAUGAUCCGUGAAAGCGGUUGGGCUAUCCUAUUAUUGGAAGCAGAAAACAAGUCGCCGUCACUGACCGCCUCGGAAACUGUGCCUAUAUUUUGCACUUGGCACUAUGUCACCCUGUGUUCUCUAUGGCCCCUGGUCACCUUCUGCCUCAGCUUCAGAGGACUCCAUUGGAGGAACAUUCCAUUAACAGGUCCUACACCCUUACUUGAUCUCUUGGAUAAAUUUGUAACCUAUGAACUUAGUGGAUCAAAGUGAAGUUCAUUACUGCUAAAUCGCCUGCCGUGUUCCACAAAGGACAUUCCAGGUUACUCUCCCAUCCGAAGAAUACACGAAGACAAGCCAGAGGGGCCAAAGCUCCUGCCAGUGUACACCGUGGAAGACUUUGUCAUCACUGCCUUGCACCAUUUACCCUGCCACACAGGAAGAGCAGAGUGUCAGCCUAACACUUACUUGAUGGCCCCACGAGCAGCAGGUACUGUGGUCAUUCCCACUAUCCACGUGAGGAAACAGAGGCUGCACUGACCACUCUUACGGAGUUAGAUCACGGAAUGCAGGUUUCAAAACCAGACCCAGCCAAUUCUACUCAACUGCCUCCCAAUCCUGUCAGUUUUAUUUAGGUCUUGCUUGUUUUGAGGGAAUACUAACCACUUUAUAUGAUUAAUCUUUUAUAUGAUUAACAUGAAAAUGGUUAAUAUUCA